GAUUAACGCUGGCGGCGUGCCUAAUGCAUGCAAGUCGAACGUGGUCUCUUCGGAGAUUAACGUGGCGGACGGGUGAGGAACACGUGGGGAACCUGCCCAUUGGUGGGGGGUAGCCCGCGGAAACGCGGGGUAAUUCCGCAUACGCUGGCCGGCCGAUAGGGUUGGUCAGGAAAGGGUCUUCGGACUCGCCGAUGGAGGGGCCUGCGUCCGAUUAGCUAGUUGGUGGGUAACGGCCUACCAAGGCGGUGAUCGGUAGCUGGUCUGAGAGGACGGCCAGCCACACUGGGACUGAGACACGGCCCAGACUCCUACGGGUGGCAG
This 321-nucleotide ribosomal RNA is filed under the name uncultured Chloroflexota bacterium. RNAcentral's name for it is "bacterial SSU rRNA". It matches the Rfam family "Bacterial small subunit ribosomal RNA", at positions 28 to 351 of the family's 1533-position model. Lineage: Bacteria; Bacillati; Chloroflexota. The record is from RNAcentral.